This 343-nucleotide ribosomal RNA is filed under the name Gammarus cf. aequicauda TN06_B_G.aeq. Its description in RNAcentral is "partial 16S ribosomal RNA". The stretch from base 69 to 343 matches the Rfam family "Bacterial large subunit ribosomal RNA", at positions 2078 to 2601 of the family's 2925-position model. Lineage: Eukaryota; Metazoa; Arthropoda; Malacostraca; Amphipoda; Gammaridae. The record is from RNAcentral.
CAAUUUAAUUGGUUUGUAGACUUUUUUAGGAAAUUUAAGUCAAGGUAAUAAUUCUUUGAUGACUUAGGGGACGAUAAGACCCUAGAAGCUUAAUACGUUGUCUAUCUUUUAAUGUUAGAGGGUAAAGUAUUUAACUGGGGCGGUGUGAGUAUUUAAACUAUUUUUGUUAUAAUUUGAUCCUUUAAAUAAAGAAAAAUUGGUUAAGUUACUCUAGGGAUAACAGUGCUAUAUUUUUGGAGAGAUCUUAUCGAUAAAAUUGUUUGCAACCUCGAUGUUGAAUUAGAAUAUCUAAAUGAAGCAUAAAGUAUGAAAGAGGGUUUGUUCAACCUUUAAAGUUCUACAU